UACAGGGGGGGCAAGCGUUGUUCGGAAUUACUGGGCGUAAAGGGCUCGUAGGCGGCCGGCUAAGUCCGACGUGAAAUCCCCAGGCUUAACCUGGGAACUGCGUCGGAUACUGGAUGGCUCGAGUGUGGGAGAGGGAUGCGGAAUUCCAGGUGUAGCGGUGAAAUGCGUAGAUAUCUGGAGGAACACCGGUGGCGAAGGCGGCAUCCUGGACCAUAACUGACACUGAUAAGCGAAAGCCAGGGGAGCAAACGGG
This 253-nucleotide ribosomal RNA is filed under the name uncultured bacterium. RNAcentral's name for it is "partial 16S ribosomal RNA". It matches the Rfam family "Bacterial small subunit ribosomal RNA", at positions 524 to 776 of the family's 1533-position model. The record is from RNAcentral.